Long non-coding RNA from Talpa occidentalis (Iberian mole), 500 nucleotides. RefSeq lists it as uncharacterized. The record is from RefSeq and is a predicted model, not a curated record. Lineage: Eukaryota; Metazoa; Chordata; Mammalia; Eulipotyphla; Talpidae. The transcript is spliced from 3 exons.
UGGAGGCACCAGUUAUGUUGCUCCUUUUACAGGUCUGUUUUGACCAUACUACUUAUUUCUAAUUUGAUUAUAAAUAAAGAAAUGAAAUUUAAUGCCAAGUUCUCACUUAAAUUAUCAAUUCCAAAUUGUGUGUGCAUUAAUGAGAUUUCACUGCACUAAUAAUAACAGCAAGUGCCAAAAGGGUAAGCCAAUCAAUUACAGGCCUACCGAUGAGCACCAAGAAAAUCACACCUGCACCUUGAGUCCUGUGUGAUAGGUCACACCUAUCUAGCUCACAACUCAACUCCACUGAGGCUGAACUCCAAGAGAAAAGCAAGAUUAGCAAAGAAGCAGCCACGAGAAACUUCCAUGUGGUGGUAAUGGCACCUACCUGACACUUAUGGUCCUAACAGCUGAUUUCUGGGCCUACCUUGGGAGAGUUAGUGGUGAGUGGAAUCUAGGAUGGGAACAAAUUCUGAGUUCUUGAGGUCCAUGGAAUCUGACAUUCUUCUAGAAUUUUA